RNAcentral lists this ribosomal RNA (464 nucleotides) under uncultured bacterium. RNAcentral's name for it is "partial 16S ribosomal RNA". It matches the Rfam family "Bacterial small subunit ribosomal RNA", at positions 28 to 506 of the family's 1533-position model. The record is from RNAcentral.
GACGAACGCUGGCGGCGUGCUUAACACAUGCAAGUCGUACGGUAAGGCCCUUUCGGGGGUACACGAGUGGCGAACGGGUGAGUAACACGUGAGUAACCUGCCCACAACUUUGGGAUAACGCUAGGAAACUGGUGCUAAUACUGGAUAUGUGCCCCUGCUGCAUGGUGGGGGUUGGAAAGCUCCGGCGGUUGUGGAUGGACUCGCGGCCUAUCAGCUUGUUGGUGGGGUAGUGGCCUACCAAGGCGGCGACGGGUAGCCGGCCUGAGAGGGGGACCGGCCACAUUGGGACUUGGGAACUGCCCCACCUCCUUAGGGAGGCGGAGGUGGGGAAUAUUGCACAAUGGGCGAAAGCCUGAAUCAGCAACGCCGCGUGGGGGGUUACGGCCUUCGGGUUGUAACCCCCUUUCAGCAGGGACAAAGCUUUUUUUGGCGGGACCUGCAGAAGAAGCACCGGCGAACUACGU